ACUCCUACGGGAGGCAGCAGUGGGAAUUUUGGACAAUGGGCGCAAGCCUGAUCCAGCCAUGCCGCGUGCGGGAAGAAGGCCUUCGGGUUGUAAACCGCUUUUGUCAGGGAAGAAAGGUUCUGGCUAAUACCUGGGACUCAUGACGGUACCUGAAGAAUAAGCACCGGCUAACUACGUGCCAGCAGCCGCGGUAAUACGUAGGGUGCAAGCGUUAAUCGGAAUUACUGGGCGUAAAGCGUGCGCAGGCGGUUAUGCAAGACAGAGGUGAAAUCCCCGGCGUCACUAGGCACUGGCAUUGUGCAUCUGCAUGGCUAGAGUACGGUAGAGGGGGAUGGAAUUCCGCGUGUAGCAGUGAAAUGCGUAGAUAUGCGGAGGAACACCGAUGGCGAAGGCAAU
RNAcentral lists this ribosomal RNA (396 nucleotides) under uncultured bacterium. Its description in RNAcentral is "bacterial SSU rRNA". It matches the Rfam family "Bacterial small subunit ribosomal RNA", at positions 335 to 725 of the family's 1533-position model. The record is from RNAcentral.